This 429-nucleotide ribosomal RNA is filed under the name Triticum aestivum (bread wheat). RNAcentral's name for it is "partial small subunit ribosomal RNA". The record is from RNAcentral. Lineage: Eukaryota; Viridiplantae; Streptophyta; Magnoliopsida; Poales; Poaceae.
AUGAAUGUAGAUGCCACAACUGCCUCCUCAAUUGUGCAGAUUUUUGGUUGUGCCACUGCUGGGUUUCCCCAAACCUAUCUCGGUCUUCCCCUCUCCCCCACCAAGCUCCCCCCCUCGGCCUUCCAGCCUCUCAUCUCUUCUUUCCGAUCCCUCCUGCCCGGCUGGUGCGUGAAACUGCUCAAUCGAGCUGGGAGGCUCGUGCUCAUUUCCGCCGUUCUGGACUCUUUCUCAACCUACUUUUUGUCAGUUUUCAAAAUUCCGAAGAAGACACUAAAGACGCUGGACGCCAUUAGACGGGCCUUCUUUUGGGCUGCCGAGGAGACAUGCUCAGGCUCCAAAUGCUUGAUUGCUUGGAAAAAUGUUUGCAAACCGAAAAUUUAUGGUGGUCUAGGCAUUAAGAACUUAGCUACACAGAAUGUCUUCUUAUGA